AUUGAACGCUGGCGGUAUGCUUAACACAUGCAAGUCGAACGGUAGCAGAAGAGAGCUUGCUCUCUUGCUGACGAGUGGCGGACGGGUGAGUAAUGCUUGGGAAUCUGCCUAGUAGUGGGGGACAACACGAGGAAACUCGUGCUAAUACCGCAUACGUCCUACGGGAGAAAGUGGGGGAUCUUCGGACCUCACGCUAUUAGAUGAGCCCAAGUCGGAUUAGCUUGUUGGUGAGGUAACGGCUCACCAAGGCGACGAUCCGUAGCUGGUUUGAGAGGAUGACCAGCCACACUGGGACUGAGACACGGCCCAGACUCCUACGGGAGGCAGCAGUGGGGAAUAUUGGACAAUGGGCGGAAGCCUGAUCCAGCAAUACCGCGUGUGUGAAGAAGGCCUGCGGGUUGUAAAGCACUUUCAAUUGUGAAGAAAAGACUUAGGGCUAAUACCUCUGAGUCUUGACGUUAACUUUAGUAAGAAG
This 475-nucleotide ribosomal RNA is filed under the name uncultured bacterium. RNAcentral describes it as "bacterial SSU rRNA". It matches the Rfam family "Bacterial small subunit ribosomal RNA", at positions 30 to 490 of the family's 1533-position model. The record is from RNAcentral.